UGGGGAAUAUUGCACAAUGGGCGCAAGCCUGAUGCAGCCAUGCCGCGUGUGUGAAGAAGGCCUUCGGGUUGUAAAGCACUUUCAGCGAGGAGGAAGGGUUCAGUGUUAAUAGCACUGUUCAUUGACGUUACUCGCAGAAGAAGCACCGGCUAACUCCGUGCCAGCAGCCGCGGUAAUACGGAGGGUGCAAGCGUUAAUCGGAAUUACUGGGCGUAAAGCGCACGCAGGCGGUUUGUUAAGUCAGAUGUGAAAUCCCCGCGCUUAACGUGGGAACUGCAUUUGAAACUGGCAAGCUAGAGUCUUGUAGAGGGGGGUAGAAUUCCAGGUGUAGCGGUGAAAUGCGUAGAGAUCUGGAGGAAUACCGGUGGCGAAGGCGGCCCCCUGGACAAAGACUGACGCUCAGGUGCGAAAGCGUGGGGAGCAAAACAGGAUUAGAUACCCUGGUAGUCCACGCUGUAAACGAUGUCGACUUGGAGGUUGUGCCCUUGAGGCGUGGCUUCCGGAGCUAACGCGUUAAGUCGACCGCCUG
Molecule: ribosomal RNA, 529 nt
Filed under: uncultured bacterium
Lineage: Bacteria
Description: partial 16S ribosomal RNA
Rfam family: Bacterial small subunit ribosomal RNA
Source: RNAcentral